Molecule: ribosomal RNA, 254 nt
Filed under: uncultured bacterium
Lineage: Bacteria
Description: partial 16S ribosomal RNA
Rfam family: Bacterial small subunit ribosomal RNA
Source: RNAcentral
UACGUAGGCAGCGAGCGUUGUUCGGAGUUACUGGGCGUAAAGGGUGUGUAGGCGGUUGUUUAAGUUUGGUGUGAAAUCUCCCGGCUCAACUGGGAGGGUGCGCCGAAUACUGAAUGACUUGGAGUGCGGGAGAGGAAAGUGGAAUUCCUGGUGUAGCGGUGAAAUGCGUAGAUAUCAGGAGGAACACCGGUGGUGUAGACGGCUUUCUGGACCGUAACUGACGCUGAGACACGGAAGCGUGGGUAGCAAACAGG